Molecule: ribosomal RNA, 455 nt
Filed under: uncultured bacterium
Lineage: Bacteria
Description: bacterial SSU rRNA
Rfam family: Bacterial small subunit ribosomal RNA
Source: RNAcentral
UACGGAGGACGAGCAGUGGGGGAAUAUUGCACAAUGGGCGCAAGCCUGAUGCAGCCAUGCCGCGUGUAUGAAGAAGGCCUUCGGGUUGUAAAGUACUUUCAGUCGUGAGGAAGGUGUUAAGGUUAAUAACCUUAGCAAUUGACGUUAGCGACAGAAGAAGCACCGGCUAACUCCGUGCCAGCAGCCGCGGUAAUACGGAGGGUGCGAGCGUUAAUCGGAAUUACUGGGCGUAAAGGGCACGCAGGCGGUUAAUUAAGUUGGAUGUGAAAUCCCCGGGCUUAACCUGGGAAUGGCAUUCAAGACUGGUUAGCUAGAGUCUUGUAGAGGGGGUAGAAUUCCAUGUGUAGCGGUGAAAUGCGUAGAGAUGUGGAGGAAUACCGGUGGCGAAGGCGGCCCCUGGACAAAGACUGACGCUCAUGUGCGAAAGCGUGGGGAGCAAACAGGGAUUAGAUACC